UAGGGAAUCUUCCGCAAUGGACGCAAGUCUGACGGAGCAACGCCGCGUGAGUGAAGAAGGAUUUCGGUUCGUAAAACUCUGUUGUUAGAGAAGAACAGCGCAUAGAGUAACUGUUAUGCGUGUGACGGUAUCUAACCAGAAAGCCACGGCUAACUACGUGCCAGCAGCCGCGGUAAUACGUAGGUGGCAAGCGUUGUCCGGAUUUAUUGGGCGUAAAGCGAGCGCAGGCGGUCAAUUAAGUCUGAUGUGAAAGCCCCCGGCUCAACCGGGGAGGGUCAUUGGAAACUGGUUGACUUGAGUGCAGAAGAGGAGAGUGGACUUCCAUGUGUAGCGGUGAAAUGCGUAGAUAUAUGGAGGAACACCAGUGGCGAAGGCGACUCUCUGGUCUGUAACUGACGCUGAGGCUCGAAAGCGUGGGUAGCAAACAGG
This 429-nucleotide ribosomal RNA is filed under the name Bacteroidota bacterium. RNAcentral's name for it is "Bacteroidetes bacterium partial 16S ribosomal RNA". It matches the Rfam family "Bacterial small subunit ribosomal RNA", at positions 355 to 776 of the family's 1533-position model. Lineage: Bacteria; Pseudomonadati; Bacteroidota. The record is from RNAcentral.